ACACGAUACGACAAAAACACGACUAAUUUUUACGUCAACACGACCGAAUCCGUGUGGACACGACACGAACACGACCCGUCCCGUUCUCACCCUUACUUGAAUCACAACAGCGAAUCCAGAAAUUUUUUCUUUAAGGGGUUAGUUUUAAAUCAUUUACUAAAUUCAAAAGUAAUUUUUUUCAAUCCAAUUGUUCUCGACAAUGUGUCGUAUUUUGAUACCGAUACAUAAUAUGAUCAUUAUUAAGUACUAACAUUAGAAAAUAAAUCUUUUUCAACAUAUGUUACUAAAAUAUCAUUUCA
RNAcentral lists this long non-coding RNA (299 nucleotides) under Zostera marina. RNAcentral describes it as "long non-coding RNA (ZMAR_LNC000108)". Lineage: Eukaryota; Viridiplantae; Streptophyta; Magnoliopsida; Alismatales; Zosteraceae. The record is from RNAcentral.